Molecule: ribosomal RNA, 253 nt
Filed under: uncultured bacterium
Lineage: Bacteria
Description: partial 16S ribosomal RNA
Rfam family: Bacterial small subunit ribosomal RNA
Source: RNAcentral
UACGUAGGGGGCAAGCGUUAUCCGGAUUUAUUGGGCGUAAAGGGAACGCAGGCGGUCUUUUAAGUCUGAUGUGAAAGCCUUCGGCUUAACCGGAGUAGUGCAUUGGAAACUGGGAGGCUUGAGUGCAGAAGAGGAGAGUGGAACUCCAUGUGUAGCGGUGAAAUGCGUAGAUAUAUGGAAGAACACCAGUGGCGAAAGCGGCUCUCUGGUCUGUAACUGACGCUGAGGUUCGAAAGCGUGGGUAGCAAACAGG